This is a long non-coding RNA of Pongo pygmaeus (Bornean orangutan), 270 nucleotides long. RefSeq lists it as uncharacterized. The transcript has 3 exons. NCBI's taxonomy places the organism in Eukaryota, Metazoa, Chordata, Mammalia, Primates, Hominidae. The record is from RefSeq and is a predicted model, not a curated record.
CACUCCCCGGCAAAGCUUGUCUGCAUAGUGAGACCACCACAGCCACUCACACACGAAGAGGCUCAUUAUGAGAAGGAAGAAGAAGAAGAAGAGAAAAGCUGCAAAUGGAGAAGAAAACAUUUAUUCCGCAGUAGAAACACAGUUGGAGUCAUGAUGUGAGAUGGCAGGAAUGGAAUCUUGGAUUCACCACACCCAAGUUAAACUUUGGGCACCCUCUGAGGAACCUGCAGGGCCGUCAGCUCAGGAGUCCCAAGAUCAGCCAGACCAGCC